CCAAAUUUCAGCUCAAUAAGAGAAGAUCUCACCGUUGGAUUUACCAAACACCCAAGACUGCUCUGCUGAAGAACUAUGGCGACCAGCUUCAAGAAAACCCAGACAACAGAAGAUCCAACCGUUGAAAUCCAAAUCCCUUCAGUGAACCUCUAACCCACUGACUAAAGAAGCUUCCCACAAAAUAUCAGCCCGAUCAGGAUCCGUUUGACCCUCCAAAUCCAGUCUUGAAAUCACCUUACGAGUUUUCUCCUUCUCUCUCUUUUUCUCCUUUCUCUCUCUUUUUCUUUU
This 288-nucleotide long non-coding RNA is filed under the name Brassica napus (rape). RNAcentral describes it as "long non-coding RNA (BNAP_LNC018673)". The record is from RNAcentral. Lineage: Eukaryota; Viridiplantae; Streptophyta; Magnoliopsida; Brassicales; Brassicaceae.